This 739-nucleotide long non-coding RNA is filed under the name Nicotiana tabacum (common tobacco). Its description in RNAcentral is "long non-coding RNA (NTAB_LNC001015)". The record is from RNAcentral. Lineage: Eukaryota; Viridiplantae; Streptophyta; Magnoliopsida; Solanales; Solanaceae.
UUUGCUCCUUGACUCGGCCGCCUCCAUUUCCCCUUCCUUUCUCUAUUCUCUCAACUCCCACAGACAAAUCAAUCACAAACCUUGCACAAAUUCGUGGAAGGUCAUGAAUCAACCAGUAAAUCAUCCUUAUUGCCCCCUAUGACUACGAAUCAUGCUAUUUUCUUUCCUCUUUCAUCAAUAAGAUUCAAAAUCCCCAAAAUUUGAAACCCUAGCUAAUAGAUGAUAUUUAAAAUCGUUUGUAACACUGUUAUGGUCAUUCAAAUCUGUGGCAUGCAUGGCCAUCCCUUUAGCGUUAUCAUCAUUAUUCUUGGUCCGGAGAUUAAGCGAACAACCUCUAGACAUUGGGCCUUUAUUGGAUGGAUCAUUCCUUCAACGGUCAGCUUCCCCAUCUCAGGUAAAAACUAUCACUGCUCUCACCUCAGUUCUUCUCUGAUUUCACUCGAUGUUGCUUGCAUCAUCAACUCUUCGUCAUCUUCCACUAUCAUUUUGAAUCUGUUGAAACAUAAGGCAUUGAAUGCCAUUAAAAAUGAUGCCUUCAAUACCCUUACCUAUAUGACCUAACUACAGAAGUAUCAUUAACUACACUUAAAGUUCUAAGUAGCAAAAUAAAAGCUAGGGUUCCUAACUGUAUUUUGAUUUCUUUCCUCUUUCUGGUUUCGAGCUUAGCUGAUUGGGGUUUGAAUUUUGAUUCUUAAACGGCUAAGAAAAAUCCUCAUUUUGUUUGCUGCUCAAAGGAAGG